This 253-nucleotide ribosomal RNA is filed under the name uncultured bacterium. RNAcentral's name for it is "partial 16S ribosomal RNA". It matches the Rfam family "Bacterial small subunit ribosomal RNA", at positions 524 to 776 of the family's 1533-position model. The record is from RNAcentral.
UACGUAGGCAGCGAGCGUUGUUCGGAGUUACUGGGCGUAAAGCGUGCGUAGGCGGUAGUGCAAGUCUGUUGUGAAAUCUCCCGGCUCAACCGGGAGGGUGCGGCGGAAACUGUGCUGCUGGAGUAGGGGAGAGGCAGGCGGAAUUCCUGGUGUAGCGGUGAAAUGCGUAGAUAUCAGGAGGAACACCCGUGGUGUAGACGGCCUGCUGGACCGUGACUGACGCUGAGGCACGAAAGCGUGGGGAGCAAACGGG